This 153-nucleotide ribosomal RNA is filed under the name Triticum aestivum (bread wheat). RNAcentral describes it as "partial small subunit ribosomal RNA". The record is from RNAcentral. Lineage: Eukaryota; Viridiplantae; Streptophyta; Magnoliopsida; Poales; Poaceae.
AUGACUCCGGCGUCCGGUGUCGACAAGUACAACAUCCUCUCCCGCUUCACCAGCAACGCGUUCUACCUCGACUCCAAGUCCACCAUCGGCGUCGAGUUCGCCACCCGCACCCUCCUCAUGAGUACUCACCCCCGUUCCAUUAAUCGCUGCUAG